Molecule: long non-coding RNA, 1707 nt
Organism: Neopsephotus bourkii (Bourke's parrot)
Lineage: Eukaryota; Metazoa; Chordata; Aves; Psittaciformes; Psittacidae
Exons: 2
Source: RefSeq, a predicted model, not a curated record
UUUGCUGUGAUUAUUUGCUUGGUUUAAUUUGGUUUGUCUACUUAGAAUUUUUAGAAUGGCAAUGAGAUGAGGUCUAAACUGAAUGUAGGCAUUAGACAAGAAACCUUGUAGUAUAUUUCAACAACCCGUAUUGGAUGUCAUUGUUUAUUUUAAACUUGAACUUAAUUACUGUGAGAUCCCAGGCUCUAUAAAGACAAUGAGUGCCAUCUAUAAAUGCUAAUAUAAAUCAAUAAAGAGGGGGAGGUUAAGUGAUUUAUAUUGGAGCUGAGCCACCAUGUUAAUAACUGGUGCUCAUUAUAGCCUCAGCAAUGAAUGGGAAAUCAAAACAUUAAAUAGUGCAAACAAGAAGACUAUCCUAUUUUGCAGGAAGUUUGAGAUACUCCAUUCGUCCAGGUCACCCAUUUUUGUCCUUUUAAAAGGUAGGUUAAAUCUUGUAUUUAAUAGACAUCUUGCCUAAGAAAAGGCUGCUGGAGUUUUCCCAAUGUUUCCAUGACUUUGAGUUGUUGCCAACUUUGCCUGACAAAUAACAAGCAUAGCUGCCAAAACUGAACUAUAAUAUUGCUGUAAAAAGAGUAUCAUAGGUACAAGUUUUAGGUAUGCACUGCUUUUCAUACCUAUAAUACAGUUGACCAUAUUAUGAAUAUUUCAUUUUCAUUACCAUAUAUUAGUAAAAUAGGACUUCAGAAUUGUUUUGUAUAUCUCUCUUCAAGAAUAUAAACAAAUAAUUGUACUUUUGAACGUGGAUUGGCACAUUAUGGAAGCAUCAAAAAAGUCUCUGUAAGUAAGGCUGCAUUGGCACUUACACUGAAGGCAGGACUAACAUUUCUCUAUUCAAGGUUUAAUUUAUUCUCCAAAUUCAUCAGAACACAUUUUCAGAUGACAAUUGCACUUUUCAUAUAAUUUUCUUAAUAACUUUGUUUUAAUUAGAAGAGAAAAGAUUUUAAGUGCACUUUUCUGAACACAUUUUACUCAAAACAAAAAAAAAAAAAGGUAAGGAAAAACCCUGUCUCCCUUAAUUUCACACACAGAAAGUCUUAGAGAUACCUGUUCUUUGCUAACAUUUUGGAGGAGGCCAGUUUUGAAGGUUUUUCUGUAUAAGUGAGAGAAAUUUCAUUAAGACUAACCAACUGACCUGGUGGAACUUAACUGAAAAUAUUGUCCUAAUAUCCCUAUGGCAGGUCGUGUCUGAGGACUGCUUCAAUCCAUUCUCUAGGUGAAGCAAAUCAAUUUUUUAAACUUUAAUUUGGGUCAUUUCCUAGGCUGUGAGUUUUUUAGCCUUUUUUUUUUUUUUUUCCUCCCACAAUUUGGAGUUCUUCCUUUUGCUCUCGUGGGACUCUUCCUCCAUGACCAGCGUUUUGACCUAUUUUGAUAUCUUUUUGGGGGAAGGAUCUUUAUUAAGAUGGGAGUGAAAAUAACUUCUGACUCAGCUGAAGUAAGCUUUUCGAGGAAGCGAACCUCAAUGCCAUGUGUUCAGACCUGCUUCUUUUUAGAUAUUAGCUGAUGAUAUCCAAAGGGUCUUGCUCUCUUGCUAUAGAUUGUGUAUUACUUUCAAAGAAACUCCCGGAAGUGCUAACAUUGUGUGGUGCAAGAACAAUGUUGGAAUAAAAGGGGGAAGAAGUUCGAUAUCCUGGCAGUUCUGCAGUCCACCAAGUCUGUUAUUUCUGUUCUGUCUUUAUAAUGGCUAUAAAAUAUUAUCUGGGAGUAUGA